UACGAAGGGGGCUAGCGUUGCUCGGAAUCACUGGGCGUAAAGCGCACGUAGGCGGAUUGUUAAGUCAGGGGUGAAAUCCUGGAGCUCAACUCCAGAACUGCCCUUGAUACUGGCGAUCUCGAGUCCGGGAGAGGUGAGUGGAACUGCGAGUGUAGAGGUGAAAUUCGUAGAUAUUCGCAAGAACACCAGUGGCGAAGGCGGCUCACUGGCCCGGUACUGACGCUGAGGUGCGAAAGCGUGGGGAGCAAACAGG
RNAcentral lists this ribosomal RNA (253 nucleotides) under uncultured bacterium. Its description in RNAcentral is "partial 16S ribosomal RNA". It matches the Rfam family "Bacterial small subunit ribosomal RNA", at positions 524 to 776 of the family's 1533-position model. The record is from RNAcentral.